Molecule: ribosomal RNA, 118 nt
Filed under: Peromyscus maniculatus bairdii (prairie deer mouse)
Lineage: Eukaryota; Metazoa; Chordata; Mammalia; Rodentia; Cricetidae
Source: RNAcentral
GCCUGUGGCUCUGCCACCUUGAAUGCUCUGUUCUCAUCUUACCUUGGAAGCUAAGCAAGGCCCCAGCCUGGCUAAUACUUGAUGGGAAACCACCUGGGAAUAAUGGGUGCAGUAGGCU